Molecule: transfer RNA, 84 nt
Filed under: Planctomycetota bacterium
Lineage: Bacteria; Pseudomonadati; Planctomycetota
Description: Planctomycetes bacterium (bioreactor metagenome) tRNA-Leu
Rfam family: tRNA
About the family: Transfer RNA (tRNA) molecules are approximately 80 nucleotides in length.
Source: RNAcentral
GGGGGAAUGGCGGAACCGGCAGACGCAUCGGACUUAAAAUCCGAAGCCCGCGAGGGCGUGGGGGUUCGAGCCCCCCUUCCCCCA